This is a long non-coding RNA of Oreochromis aureus, 327 nucleotides long. RefSeq lists it as uncharacterized. The transcript has 3 exons. NCBI's taxonomy places the organism in Eukaryota, Metazoa, Chordata, Actinopteri, Cichliformes, Cichlidae. The record is from RefSeq and is a predicted model, not a curated record.
GGCAGGAGAAGCAGGCGGCUGCCGGUCGGAGCGUGAGGUGAACUGAAUUUCAGCCCAAAGACACGCAUCAUCCGUUAACAGGGGAUUCCUUGAUAGAUGGAGAUGCUGAUAUGAGAUGGAUAAAGUGGUCUGGCGGAAAGCGGUGGAAAGUGGAUUGGAUGAGGAAGAGCAAGGGUGGCAUAUUAUGCUCUCUCACGUGGCUUUAAAGGUAUUUAAUCUAAAUGUCAUUGUUGUGAUUAAAAACUGUUUAAAGACUCCUUUUAGGCAAUUUCUACAGAGAAUAAAUACAAAAAGUACCUUUAACAAUGCAACUCUGUUUUGUGUAGU